GACGAACGCUGGCGGCGUGCUUAACACAUGCAAGUCGAGCGGUAAGGCCCUUUCGGGGGUACACGAGCGGCGAACGGGUGAGUAACACGUGGGUGACCUGCCCUCAGCUCUGGGAUAAGCCUGGGAAACCGGGUCUAAUACCGGAUAUGACUCCAUGACGCAUGUUGUGGGGUGGAAAGCCUUGUGCGGCUGAGGAUGGGCCCGCGGCCUAUCAGCUUGUUGGUGGGGNGAUGGCCUACCAAGGCGACGACGGGUAGCCGGCCUGAGAGGGCGACCGGCCACACUGGGACUGAGACACGGCCCAGACUCCUACGGGAGGCAGCAGUGGGAAUCUUGCGCAAUGGGCGAAAGCCUGACGCAGCGACGCCGCGUGAGGGAUGACGGCCU
This 387-nucleotide ribosomal RNA is filed under the name uncultured bacterium. Its description in RNAcentral is "bacterial SSU rRNA". It matches the Rfam family "Bacterial small subunit ribosomal RNA", at positions 28 to 417 of the family's 1533-position model. The record is from RNAcentral.